UACGUAGGCAGCGAGCGUUGUUCGGAUUUACUGGGCGUAAAGCGCGUGUAGGCGGCUUGGCAAGUUGAAUGUGAAAGCCCACGGCUCAACCGUGGAAGCGCAUCCAAAACUGCUUCGCUGGAGUCUCGGAGAGGAAGGUGGAAUGCUUGGUGUAGAGGUGAAAUUCGUAGAUAUCAAGCAGAACACCUGCGGCGAAGGCGGCCUUCUGGACGAUGACUGACGCUGAGACGCGAAAGCGUGGGGAGCAAACAGG
This 253-nucleotide ribosomal RNA is filed under the name uncultured bacterium. Its description in RNAcentral is "partial 16S ribosomal RNA". It matches the Rfam family "Bacterial small subunit ribosomal RNA", at positions 524 to 776 of the family's 1533-position model. The record is from RNAcentral.